RNAcentral lists this ribosomal RNA (254 nucleotides) under uncultured microorganism. RNAcentral describes it as "partial 16S ribosomal RNA". It matches the Rfam family "Archaeal small subunit ribosomal RNA", at positions 474 to 727 of the family's 1478-position model. The record is from RNAcentral.
CACCGGCGGCUCGAGUGGUGGCCACUUUUAUUGGGUCUAAAGCGUCCGUAGCCGGCUUGGCAAGUCCCCUGGGAAAUCUGGCGGCUUAACCGUCAGGCGUCCAGCGGAUACUGCCAGGCUUGGGACCGGGAGAGGUGAGAGGUACCUCAGGGGUAGGGGUGAAAUCUUGUGAUCCCUGAGGGACCACCAGUGGCGAAGGCAGCCCCCUGGGCCUGUACUGACGCUCAUGCACGAAAGCGUGGGGAGCAAACAGG